This 396-nucleotide long non-coding RNA is filed under the name Homo sapiens (human). RNAcentral describes it as "HSALNT0392004". Lineage: Eukaryota; Metazoa; Chordata; Mammalia; Primates; Hominidae. The record is from RNAcentral.
GAGAUGGGCUUCACUUUGUUGCCCAGGCUGGUCUCCAACUCCUGGCCUCUGGCGAUCCUCCUGCCUCAGCCUCCCAAAGUGCUGGGAUGACAGGCAUGAGCCCUCACACCUGCCCUAACAUUUUGAUGGAUGAAGCCAAAUUGCCCUUCCAGAAGCUUCUGCUUGUGCCCAGGCACAUUGACAUGAGGGCCUCGAAUCCUGCCUGAGCUCCAUGAAGGCUGCAGUGACUUGAGUUGGCGUGAGUGGAAACCUCUGCCUCCACAGUGAAAUGUCACUGACUACUGGAAAUUAGGCGAAUGCAUUAGUGCACAGCAGAGGUGGCACGGGGAGCGGUCAAUGUGUGUCAGUCUCCCCUGGCGGACGGUGGCGAGCUGAGAUGAGGUUGUGUCUGCCUUU